CGUACCGUAAACCGACACAGGUAGUCGAGGAGAGUAUCCUAAGGCGCUCGAGUGAUCCGUGGCUAAGGAACUAGGCAAAAUGGUCUCGUAACUUCGGGAGAAGAGACUCCCCUCGUGAGAGGGGACGCAGUGAAGAGGCCCAGGCGACUGUUUAACAAAAACACAGGACUCUGCAAAAUCGUAAGAUGAAGUAUAGGGUCUGACACCUGCCCGGUGCUGGAAGGUUAAGGAAGGGGGUUAGUGCGUAAGUGCGAAGCUCUUAACUGAAGCCCCAGUAAACGGCGGCCGUAACUAUAACGGUCCUAAGGUAGCGAAAUUCCUUGUCGGGUAAGUUCCGACCUGCACGAAUGGUGUAACGAUCUGGGCACUGUCUCAGCCACGAGCUCGGUGAAAUUGAAGUAUCGGUGAAGAUGCCGAUUACCCGCAACGGGACGGAAAGACCCCGUGAACCUUUACUACAACUUCACAUUGAGCUUGAAUACAGGAUGUGUAGGAUAGGUGGGAGGCUACGAAGCUGUGACGCUAGUCAUGGUGGAGCCAACGUUGAAAUACCACCCUUCCUGUAUUUAGGUUCUAAUCCCUAAAAGGGAAACAGUGUGUGGUGGGUAGUUUGACUGGGGUGGUCGCCUCCAAAAAAGUAACGGAGGCUCGCAAAGGUACACUCAGCAUGGUCGGUAAUCAUGCGAAGAGCGUAUUAGUAUAAGUGUGCUUGACUGAGAGACCGACGGGUCGAUCAGGAACGAAAGUUGGCUAAAGUGAUCCGGUGUUUCCGCAUGGAAGGGACAUCGCUCAAAGGAUAAAAGGUACUCCGGGGAUAACAGGCUGAUCCUACCCAAGAGCUCAUAUCGACGGUAGGGUUUGGCACCUCGAUGUCGGCUCGUCACAUCCUGGGGCUGGAGAAGGUCCCAAGGGUUGGGCUGUUCGCCCAUUAAAGUGGCACGCGAGCUGGGUUCAGAACGUCGCAAGACAGUUCGGUCCCUAUCUGUUGUGGGCGCAGGAAUAUUGAAGGGAGCUGAUUCUAGUACGAGAGGACCGAAUUGGACGUACCGCUAGUGUACCGGUUGUGGCGCCAGCUGCACCGCCGGGUAGCUAUGUACGGCAAGGAUAAGCGCUGAAAGCAUCUAAGCGCGAAGCCAUCCCUAAGAUGAGUAUUCCAGCACGUAAGUGUAAAGGACCCCAGAAGACUACUGGGUUGAUAGGUUAUAGGUGGAAGUGCAGUAAUGUGCGUAGCCGAGUAAUACUAAUUGUCCGACAGCUUCCUUUU
This 1264-nucleotide ribosomal RNA is filed under the name activated sludge metagenome. RNAcentral's name for it is "bacterial LSU rRNA". It matches the Rfam family "Bacterial large subunit ribosomal RNA", at positions 1643 to 2925 of the family's 2925-position model. The record is from RNAcentral.